RNAcentral lists this ribosomal RNA (224 nucleotides) under uncultured bacterium. RNAcentral describes it as "partial 16S ribosomal RNA". It matches the Rfam family "Bacterial small subunit ribosomal RNA", at positions 109 to 334 of the family's 1533-position model. The record is from RNAcentral.
CGUAACACGUAUGUAACCUACCUUUGUCAGGGGAUAGCCUCUCGAAAGAGAGAUUAAGACCGCAUAACAUUGUUGAACAGCAUUGUUUAACAAUCAAAUAUUUAUAGGACAAAGAUGGGCAUGCGGGACAUUAGCUAGUUGGCGGGGUAACGGCCCACCAAGGCGACGAUGUCUAGGGGAUCUGAGAGGAUGACCCCCCACACUGGUACUGAGACACGGACCAG